Molecule: ribosomal RNA, 92 nt
Filed under: Klebsiella pneumoniae subsp. pneumoniae KPNIH11
Lineage: Bacteria; Pseudomonadati; Pseudomonadota; Gammaproteobacteria; Enterobacterales; Enterobacteriaceae
Also listed under: 1 other name
Description: partial 16S ribosomal RNA
Rfam family: Bacterial small subunit ribosomal RNA
Source: RNAcentral
ACUUAAAUUGAAGAGUUUGAUCAUGGCUCAGAUUGAACGCUGGCGGCAGGCCUAACACAUGCAAGUCGAGCGGUAGCACAGAGAGCUUGCUC